GAUGAAGAACGUAGCAAAAUGCGAUAAGUAAUGUGAAUUGCAGAAUUCAGUGAAUCAUCGAAUCUUUGAACGCACAUUGCGCCCGCUGGUAUUCCGGCGGGCAUGCCUGUUCGAGCGUCAUUUCAACCCUCAAGCCCCCGGGUUUGGUGUUGGGGAUCGGCUCUGCCCUUCUGGGCGGUGCCGCCCCCGAAAUACAUUGGCGGUCUCGCUGCAGCCUCCAUUGCGUAGUAGCUAACACCUCGCAACUGGAACGCGGCGCGGCCAUGCCGUAAAACCCCAACUUCUGAAUGUUGACCUCUGAUCAGGUAGGAAUACCCGCUGAACUUAAGCAUAUCAAUAAGCGGAGGA
Molecule: unclassified non-coding RNA, 348 nt
Filed under: soil metagenome
Description: partial contains 5.8S ribosomal RNA, internal transcribed spacer 2, and large subunit ribosomal RNA
Rfam family: 5.8S ribosomal RNA (bases 1-120)
Source: RNAcentral